Molecule: non-coding RNA, 446 nt
Organism: Cricetulus griseus (Chinese hamster)
Lineage: Eukaryota; Metazoa; Chordata; Mammalia; Rodentia; Cricetidae
Source: RefSeq, a predicted model, not a curated record
UCACUGGUAGGACUCCUGAUACGGGGCUGCCCCUGGAGGAGGGAAAGGGCUUCCUGGCUAAUGGUCCCUCGUUUCUUCAGAGUCAUCGAUUCUCCAGGUCACCACCCAGCUACCAGUGUUCUUGAAGCAGGCUGCAGCCGCCAAGACCAUUGGGAUCCUGGCACGAAGUGACUUGAAAGUGGCAGAGGAGCUGCUGUACCUGCGCGUGAUCCACAGCCUGAUGACAGCCAUGGGCAACACCGACCACAGCAACAGCCAGAGACUGGCCAGCCUCACUCUAGAGUUCUUUGUGCAAAUGUUCCCACUGGUGGAGGAACAUGUCCACAAGUCCAUGGGGGAGGAACUCUACCAGCUCUUCCUUGUAAGUAUUUCCCUUCCCACCAGCCUCAGGAGUUUCCCAGGACAGAAUGGUACCCAUUGUGCACACAGGAAUCCAGUCUCCUGAC